RNAcentral lists this ribosomal RNA (549 nucleotides) under uncultured Shigella sp. RNAcentral's name for it is "bacterial SSU rRNA". It matches the Rfam family "Bacterial small subunit ribosomal RNA", at positions 524 to 1076 of the family's 1533-position model. Lineage: Bacteria; Pseudomonadati; Pseudomonadota; Gammaproteobacteria; Enterobacterales; Enterobacteriaceae. The record is from RNAcentral.
GACGGUUCGCCCCGAUAAUCGGGGAUUACUGGGCGUAACGCACGCAGGCGGUUUGUUAAGUCAGAUGUGAAAUUUCAAGGCUCAACCUGGGAACUGCAUCUGAUACUGGCAAGCUUGAGUCUCGUAGAGGGGGGUAGAAUUCCAGGUGUAGCGGUGAAAUGCGUAGAGAUCUGGAGGAAUACCGGUGGCGAAGGCGGCCCCCUGGACGAAGACUGACGCUCAGGUGCGAAAGCGUGGGGAGCAAACAGGAUUAGAUACCCUGGUAGUCCACGCCGUAAACGAUGUCGACUUGGAGGUUGUGCCCUUGAGGCGUGGCUUCCGGAGCUAACGCGUUAAGUCGACCGCCUGGGGAGUACGGCCGCAAGGUUAAAACUCAAAUGAAUUGACGGGGGCCCGCACAAGCGGUGGAGCAUGUGGUUUAAUUCGAUGCAACGCGAAGAACCUUACCUGGUCUUGACAUCCACGGAAGUUUUCAGAGAUGAGAAUGUGCCUUCGGGAACCGUGAGACAGGUGCUGCAUGGCUGUCGUCACCUCGUGUUGUGAAAUGUU